This 399-nucleotide ribosomal RNA is filed under the name uncultured bacterium. RNAcentral's name for it is "bacterial SSU rRNA". It matches the Rfam family "Bacterial small subunit ribosomal RNA", at positions 29 to 429 of the family's 1533-position model. The record is from RNAcentral.
AUUAAACGCUGGCGGCAUGCCUUACACAUGCAAGUCGAACGGCAGCACGGGAGCUUGCUCCUGGUGGCGAGUGGCGGACGGGUGAGUAAUACAUCGGAACGUGCCCUGGAGUGGGGGAUAACGCAGCGAAAGCUACGCUAAUACCGCAUAUUCUGUGAGCAGGAAAGCAGGGGAUCGCAAGACCUUGCGCUCUAGGAGCGGCCGAUGUCGGAUUAGCUAGUUGGUGGGGUAAAGGCCCACCAAGGCGACGAUCCGUAGCGGGUCUGAGAGGAUGAUCCGCCACACUGGGACUGAGACACGGCCCAGACUCCUACGGGAGGCAGCAGUGGGGAAUUUUGGACAAUGGGCGGAAGCCUGAUCCAGCCAUGCCGCGUGAGUGAAGAAGGCCUCGGUUGUAAG